Molecule: ribosomal RNA, 393 nt
Filed under: uncultured bacterium
Lineage: Bacteria
Description: partial 16S ribosomal RNA
Rfam family: Bacterial small subunit ribosomal RNA
Source: RNAcentral
AUACGGAGGAUCCGGGCGUUAUCCGGAUUUAUUGGGUUUAAAGGGAGCGUAGGUGGACAGUUAAGUCAGUUGUGAAAGUUUGCGGCUCAACCGUAAAAUUGCAGUUGAUACUGGUUGUCUUGAGUACAGUAGAGGUGGGCGGAAUUCGUGGUGUAGCGGUGAAAUGCUUAGAUAUCACGAAGAACUCCGGUUGCGAAGGCAGCUCACUGGACUGCAACUGACACUGAUGCUCGAAAGUGUGGGUAUCAAACAGGAUUAGAUACCCUGGUAGUCCACACAGUAAACGAUGAAUACUCGCUGUUUGCGAUAUACAGUAAGCGGCCAAGCGAAAGCAUUAAGUAUUCCACCUGGGGAGUACGCCGGCAACGGUGAAACUCAAAUGAAUUGACGGGG